AGAUAGCGAUACACCAAUAAUGCACCUGAACACACCUCCCUGUAAGACCAGCACGCCCAUGGGCGCGAAGAUGGGCACAGGUGCAUUUGCUAUUUAAACAACGAGGGCGCUGGACGGUCUUAAUAAAAAGCAAAGACACUUGCGUCUGAGAGAAUGAAAGAAUGAGGAGA
This is a long non-coding RNA of Etheostoma spectabile (orangethroat darter), 170 nucleotides long. RefSeq lists it as uncharacterized. The transcript has 5 exons. The record is from RefSeq and is a predicted model, not a curated record. Lineage: Eukaryota; Metazoa; Chordata; Actinopteri; Perciformes; Percidae.